Molecule: non-coding RNA, 269 nt
Organism: Pelobates cultripes (western spadefoot toad)
Lineage: Eukaryota; Metazoa; Chordata; Amphibia; Anura; Pelobatidae
Source: the annotation of a GenBank genome assembly
AGCUGAGGGGAGGAGAUGUGUGGGAGGUUACUAUUGUCGGAUUGGGUACUGUAAUAAUUGAUGAAAGUCCCUCCCUUGCAUGGGAGCAUGCUUUAUAAGGCCACUGUGGAAUAAAGGUUUUCAGUUCUGCUCCUGAUGCUGUGUGUCGUCCAGUUAUUGGGAUUGCUGUUGGGAUACUGUUGGAUUAUUUUACCUGCUGGAAACCUUGCCUUGUGGAUCUAUAAUUACUUGUUCCUGCGCCUCACUGGGAUCUUAAGCGGAGAUAAUCU